Molecule: long non-coding RNA, 259 nt
Filed under: Hordeum vulgare
Lineage: Eukaryota; Viridiplantae; Streptophyta; Magnoliopsida; Poales; Poaceae
Description: long non-coding RNA (HVUL_LNC008784)
Source: RNAcentral
UCGUGCUCUACAAAGAUUUAAGUGAAGCACUAGAGAAAAAUUAUCUAGCUCAAAAUAUAUAAGUGAAGCACAUGCGAGCUAAAUUGUCUAGCUCAAAAGAUAUAAGUGAAGCACAUGUGAGCUCAGUUGUCUAGCUCAAAAGAUAUAAGUGAAGCACAUGGGAGCUAAAUUGCCUAACUCAAAAGAUAUAAGUGAAGCUCAUUGGGUAUUCUAACAAAUUCACGAUGAGUGCAUGUCCCUCUCAAAAGGUGUGUAGCAA